Molecule: small nuclear RNA, 154 nt
Filed under: Carlito syrichta (Philippine tarsier)
Lineage: Eukaryota; Metazoa; Chordata; Mammalia; Primates; Tarsiidae
Description: U1 spliceosomal RNA (ENSTSYG00000024965.2)
Rfam family: U1 spliceosomal RNA
About the family: U1 is a small nuclear RNA (snRNA) component of the spliceosome (involved in pre-mRNA splicing). Its 5' end forms complementary base pairs with the 5' splice junction, thus defining the 5' donor site of an intron.
Source: RNAcentral
ACACUUACCUGGAAGGGAAGAUACCAUGAUCACGAAGGUGGUUUUCCCAGGUCGAGGCUCACCCAUUGCACUCUGGGUGUGCUGACCCCUACAAUUCCCGUCCCCCUCCCCAAAAAAAUCAUAAAAUUAGCCGGGCGUGGUGGCACAUGCCUGU